CCUACGGGGGGCAGCAGUAGGGAAUAUUGCUCAAUGGCGGAAACCCUGAAGCAGCAACGCCGCGUGGAGGAUGAAGGUUUUCGGAUUGUAAACUCCUUUUUUUAGAGAAGAUAAUGACUGUAUCUAACGAAUAAUCACCGGCUAACUCCGUUCCAGCAGCCGCGGUAAUACGGAGGGUGCCAGCGUUACUCGGAAGCACUGGGCGUAAAGAGCGCGUAGGCGGGUUAGCAAGUCAGAUGUGAAAUCCUAUGGCUUAACCAUAGGACUGCAUUUGGAACUGUUAUUCUUGAGGAUGGGGGAGGCAGGUGGAAGUCUUGGUGUAGGGGGGAAAUGCGUAGAGAUCAAGAGGAAUCCGCAGUGCGAAGGCAGCCUGCUAGA
Molecule: ribosomal RNA, 378 nt
Filed under: uncultured bacterium
Lineage: Bacteria
Description: partial 16S ribosomal RNA
Rfam family: Bacterial small subunit ribosomal RNA
Source: RNAcentral